This 252-nucleotide ribosomal RNA is filed under the name uncultured bacterium. RNAcentral's name for it is "partial 16S ribosomal RNA". It matches the Rfam family "Bacterial small subunit ribosomal RNA", at positions 524 to 776 of the family's 1533-position model. The record is from RNAcentral.
UACGAAGGGGGCUAGCGUUGCUCGGAAUCACUGGGCGUAAAGGGUGCGUAGGCGGGUCUUUAAGUCAGGGUGAAAUCCUGGAGCUCAACUCCAGAACUGCCUUUGAUACUGAGGAUCUUGAGUUCGGGAGAGGUGAGUGGAACUGCGAGUGUAGGGGUGAAAUUCGUAGAUAUUCGCAAGAACACCAGUGGCGAAGGCGGCUCACUGGCCCGAUACUGACGCUGAGGCACGAAAGCGUGGGGAGCAAACAGG